This 100-nucleotide transfer RNA is filed under the name Bipolaris maydis (southern corn leaf blight pathogen). Its description in RNAcentral is "tRNA-Val". The record is from RNAcentral. Lineage: Eukaryota; Fungi; Ascomycota; Dothideomycetes; Pleosporales; Pleosporaceae.
GGCCUGGUGGUGUAGUUGGUUAUCACGUUCGCCUCACAUUCAUCUGAUGUCAGAUAGGACGCGAAAGGUCCCGAGUUCCCAAGAUGCGGGUACAAGGUCU